GUAUCAAAUCCAUCAAUUGGGUCAAUAUCAUUUUCACAGGUCAAUGCAAACUAUAAUCCACAUUAAAACAGAAACUAAGCAUCCAACAAUUCCAUAAGACAUGAUAAACUAUCAAAAAAGAAAAAAAAAACUCAAACAACAAAUCGAGACCCACAAACAAAACACAUUGAUUUGUGAAAUCAUUCUUCAUCCCAGCAUUAGCUUUUGGCCCUUCUGAUACACUGGACAAGGAACUUGUCUGAUUUGAUAAUUGUUUCGAGUAAAAGAACCAGAAGCUGAAUUGAACUUAUAUUGACAGAAGCACUGUUAUCAAAUAUUGAGUAAAUAGAAUCAAGCAUUGAAAUUAGUUGUACACCAAGCGUAUGAGACACAUAAACACAUCAGUCAAGUUUCAUUUUUUAGCCUCCAAAGGUGCUUCUACUCACGACAUAGUAACCAGGGACUCGAAAAGUUCCAGAUCUGAACCCAUAAAAAAAUUCCAGAUCN
This 486-nucleotide long non-coding RNA is filed under the name Lotus japonicus. RNAcentral describes it as "long non-coding RNA (LJAP_LNC000244)". Lineage: Eukaryota; Viridiplantae; Streptophyta; Magnoliopsida; Fabales; Fabaceae. The record is from RNAcentral.